This 253-nucleotide ribosomal RNA is filed under the name uncultured bacterium. Its description in RNAcentral is "partial 16S ribosomal RNA". It matches the Rfam family "Bacterial small subunit ribosomal RNA", at positions 524 to 776 of the family's 1533-position model. The record is from RNAcentral.
UACGAAGGGGGCGAGCGUUGUUCGGAUUUACUGGGCGUAAAGGGCGCGCAGGCGGCUAUCCAAGUCAGGCGUGAAAGCCCCGGGCUUAACCUGGGAGGCGCGUCUGGGACUGGGUGGCUAGAGUUCGGGAGAGGAGAGUGGAAUUCCCAGUGUAGAGGUGAAAUUCGUAGAUAUUGGGAAGAACACCGGUGGCGAAGGCGGCUCACUGGUCCGAUACUGACGCUGAGGUGCGAAAGCGUGGGGAGCAAACAGG